AGACGUUUGGCCGAGUGGUCUAAGGCGCCAGAUUUAGGCUCUGGUCUGAAAGGGCGUGGGUUCAAAUCCACAGCGUCAA
Molecule: transfer RNA, 79 nt
Filed under: Ipomoea nil (Japanese morning glory)
Lineage: Eukaryota; Viridiplantae; Streptophyta; Magnoliopsida; Solanales; Convolvulaceae
Rfam family: tRNA
About the family: Transfer RNA (tRNA) molecules are approximately 80 nucleotides in length. Their secondary structure includes four short double-helical elements and three loops (D, anti-codon, and T loops). Further hydrogen bonds mediate the characteristic L-shaped molecular structure. tRNAs have two regions of fundamental functional importance: the anti-codon, which is responsible for specific mRNA codon recognition, and the 3' end, to which the tRNAs corresponding amino acid is attached (by aminoacyl-tRNA synthetases). tRNAs cope with the degeneracy of the genetic code in two manners: having more than one tRNA (with a specific anti-codon) for a particular amino acid; and 'wobble' base-pairing, i.e. permitting non-standard base-pairing at the 3rd anti-codon position.
Source: Rfam by way of RNAcentral